Molecule: long non-coding RNA, 943 nt
Organism: Bufo bufo (common toad)
Lineage: Eukaryota; Metazoa; Chordata; Amphibia; Anura; Bufonidae
Exons: 4
Source: RefSeq, a predicted model, not a curated record
GCAAAGAGGAACCCAGCAGAACUGGAUCAAGACCAGGAGAGUUAAAACAAAUCAACAGACAAAAAUCUGAUACAAUACCAUUCCAAGUGAGGACACACAGGAAGUAUAUAAACUAAAGUGUGAAGAGAAAAAAAGUCAUUUACAAAGCAGACAGAAACAUAAGCGAGAGGAAGCCCACACUCACCAGAAGAAUACAAGAAGGUGGGCUUGCAGACCUGGUAAUGGAAAACAAAGUCAGGAAUUUGGGUGCUCUAUUAGUAGCUACAUGGUUCAGCCUGCUGCCAGUUACACAAGCAUUAUCCUCUGACCAGGCUAGUGACAGCACCGUCACGGUUGUCAUACUGGUACUACUGCUCAUCCUCCUCUGUGUAGCUCUCAUCGUGGCCUGGAAAAAGCUGAUUCGCACAGAAGGAGGUGAAGUCUACCAUCCACAAGAGCUGUGGAGAAGAGCACAGGAUAGCAUGGAAAAUGCUACAACUAGAUGGAGUCACGGAGAACAAGAAGAGGACAGCACAGUGGAGGACAGCCAGGAUGAGGAUGAAGAAGAAGCAGCAAAGGAGGAGGAGCCAGAUAUUACAGCCUUGUAAUAGGCGUAGCAGUGGGGAAUGUACCUGCAUUUGUUAUACAGUGGAAUUCAUGGGGUAAAAUUAUGAAGUUGGUUCUAGUUUGUGUCAUGGUGUUCAAAUAAAGACACACCUUUUUAUGUUGAAUGUAUUCUACCAUCUCGUAUCAAAACAUAGUGGACUCUCAACUGCCCUGGCUUCAAGAAGUUUCAAGGUCUAAGGCCAGAAACUUGUGGGAAAUUGAAAAAUAAAACACUUAGGAAAUAUGGUAUUUGCAUAUUAAACUAAGCACAGUGGCAUGUAGGGCUUGGAUAGACAAUUAAAACAGUGUCUUUGCCUUGAAAAUCCAAAGCUGAAUUUAACAGAUAAAUCACCUGUUU